GGUCCUGUAGUUCAGUUGGUAGAUCAUUGGACUAAUAACCCAAGGGUCCUGGGUUCGAGCCCCAGCGGGACCA
RNAcentral lists this transfer RNA (73 nucleotides) under Ophiocordyceps sinensis CO18. RNAcentral describes it as "tRNA-Ile (AAT) (tRNA-Ile-AAT-2-1, tRNA-Ile-AAT-2-2)". It matches the Rfam family "tRNA". From Rfam's summary of the family: Transfer RNA (tRNA) molecules are approximately 80 nucleotides in length. Their secondary structure includes four short double-helical elements and three loops (D, anti-codon, and T loops). The record is from RNAcentral. Lineage: Eukaryota; Fungi; Ascomycota; Sordariomycetes; Hypocreales; Ophiocordycipitaceae.